AUUGAACGCUGGCGGCAGGCUUAACACAUGCAAGUCGAGCGGGGUGAUGGUGCUUGCACUAUCACUUAGCGGCGGACGGGUGAGUAAUACAUCGGAACGUGCCCUGUAGUGGGGGAUAACUAGUCGAAAGAUUAGCUAAUACCGCAUACGACCUGAGGGUGAAAGUGGGGGACCGCAAGGCCUCAUGCUAUAGGAGCGGCCGAUGUCUGAUUAGCUAGUUGGUGGGGUAAAGGCCUACCAAGGCGACGAUCAGUAGCUGGUCUGAGAGGACGGUCAGCCAAACUGGGACUGAGACACGGUCCAGACUCCUACGGGAGGCAGCAGUGGGGAAUUUUGGACAAUGGGCGCAAGCCUGAUCCAGCAAUGCCGCGUGAGUGAAGAAGGCCUUCGGGUUGUAAAGCUCUUUUGUCAGGGAAGAAACGGUUGUGGCUAAUAUCCAUGGCUAAUGACGGUACCUGAAGAAUAAGCACCGGCUAACUACGUGCCAGCCGCCGCCGUAA
RNAcentral lists this ribosomal RNA (500 nucleotides) under uncultured bacterium. RNAcentral's name for it is "partial 16S ribosomal RNA". It matches the Rfam family "Bacterial small subunit ribosomal RNA", at positions 30 to 523 of the family's 1533-position model. The record is from RNAcentral.